This 301-nucleotide ribosomal RNA is filed under the name uncultured bacterium. RNAcentral describes it as "partial 16S ribosomal RNA". It matches the Rfam family "Bacterial small subunit ribosomal RNA", at positions 509 to 807 of the family's 1533-position model. The record is from RNAcentral.
CAGCCGCCGCGGUAAUACGUAGGUGGCAAGCGUUGUCCGGAAUUAUUGGGCGUAAAGGGCUCGCAGGCGGUUUCUUAAGUCUGAUGUGAAAGCCCCCGGCUCAACCGGGGAGGGUCAUUGGAAACUGGGAAACUUGAGUGCAGAAGAGGAGAGUGGAAUUCCACGUGUAGCGGUGAAAUGCGUAGAGAUGUGGAGGAACACCAGUGGCGAAGGCGACUCUCUGGUCUGUAACUGACGCUGAGGAGCGAAAGCGGGGGGAGCGAACAGGAUUAGAUACCCCUGUAGUCCCUGUCUCUUAUAC